Long non-coding RNA from Zalophus californianus (California sea lion), 2790 nucleotides. RefSeq lists it as uncharacterized. Lineage: Eukaryota; Metazoa; Chordata; Mammalia; Carnivora; Otariidae. The transcript has 3 exons. The record is from RefSeq and is a predicted model, not a curated record.
UCCCUCUCUCUGUCAAAUAAAUAAAAUCUUAAAAAAGGAAAUGUCGUUGCCCAGGCUGGUGACCAGGCAUUGCUAUUGUCCGGGUCCCCCAGGUGAUUCUCACGUGUAGCCUGGGUUGACGAUUGCUGCCCUGAAGCAUCCCCACACUGGAGGUGAGAGCCCCAUUCUCACCAGUGCAGGAAAGAGCCACCAUUUCGAUGUGCUGUCUGCUCCCACCACCAGCAGAGGGCACACGGAGCAAAUGCAUUGUUCCCUCCCCUUACUCCCCGGGCCAGAACCACAGAUCUUCACUUGACCCCCGAGGGCUCCUGCAGCACGCCAGGAGGGCAGAACCUGGGAUCUGUCCAAGCUCACCUGUGCUCAACCCCUGUGGAUUCUGGUAGGUGCUGGGGUAUCUGCAUUUUUAUGCUUCCCAGGUAAUUCUGAGGCACCCGGACUUUUGAGAAUCACUGGGAUUUACCCUGCCUGGAAGCCACACAGAUGAUAAAGCAGUUUCUCAGGAGAUGCAGGUAGCCUUUAGAUUCAGGCAGUGGAUAUAUCGGUGAUUCGCCCACUUUGACGACAAUCCCAAAAUAAUAAUCUAAUAGAAAUACCCAAGCCGACUUAUGAGGAUGUUCACCGAAUGUUUCUAAUAGCUAAGUGAAUGAACAGCAGUGACAAAACUGGAAGUUCAUGGAUGGAGUUUUUGUAAGUAGGUCACGUGGGUGAAUAAAUGUUGGCAGAGCCAUACCAUGGACUCUUACAUGGCCCUUACAAAAAAUGAUGUUGAGGGGUAUCUGGGUGGCUCAGUCAGUUGAGCAUCCGACUCUUGGUUUCGGCUCAGGUCAUGGGAUUGAGCCCCGUGUUGGACUCCGUGCUCAGCGAGGGAUCUAUUUGAGUUUCUCUCUCCCUCUGCCCCUCCCCACCAUGUGCAGGCUUCUCUCUUUAAAAUAAAUAAAUACAUCUUGAAAAGAAAAGAAUGAGGUUGGACUAUAUCUGCUGAUGUGGAAAGGUAACCAUAGGGUAAUGAUAAGUGGAAGAAAAAGCAAGUCACAGAACAAUAUAGUUUUGUGUGGUCUUAUUUCUGUGUUUGUACAAACCACGUAGAUUCUGAUUUGUUCACAGUGGUUACGGUUAGGGUGGGAGGGGUGGACAGGAGGGAGGGAAGACGUGCACAUUCAACUUUAUAACAAUACCGUUUUUUAGUUUUCAUAAUAGAGUAUGUUGUCUAUCUUAACAAAUGAAAAAUGCUGUGAAAAACAAGGUCUCUUUCAAGUCAGCUUUCUAGGUGAAGAGUAGUUUCUCCACCACGAAUUCCCAUUCUGGACUUGGAAGCUGAGCUGACGUUGGGCAACAUUCAGUCGUGGAGAUCGUUGGUGACAUGGUCAUGUUUGUCCCUUCUAGAGUGGUUUUCCUGGCUGUCUGCUGAGACCUGUCUGGACUCUGGGCGCCUCCGUGCCCUGGGCUGGGUAUAAUUUUGCUGCAGGGAAUGGGGUGGUCUGCACCAUGUCAUGUCCAUACGGUACUUGCUAUGGACUGAAGGAAGGCCAUGUGAAGACAUCGGAGGAGGAGGUCCUGACCAAGAACCUGACCACGGACUUCCAGCCUCCAGAACUGUUCCACCUGACUUCUCUGUUUCCGGAAGCUGCCCAAGGACACCUCCUUGACAUGGUGAUGUGGUGUUGAGACCAUCUGCACAGUGGACACUCCUGAACCCAGUGAAGGCCUCCAUAUAAACUCCUAAGAUUCUGGCAGGUGGGUGUGGAGACCUCCUCAUCUUGCAGCUGCCCAAGACAAGCCUUGUAAGUUAAGUUUCCUUGUUUAUUAGCCCGGCCUCCUGCCCGUCUGGGGUGGCCUGCCUCUCUCUCUCCAGUCUCGCCCUGCCCUACUGUGCAUGGGGGCCAGUUCCAGUUUGCACCCGGGGAGCCCACCAGGGGGUUGUAAGCCAACAGUGGCAUUCUGUUGUAGUCACCUGGGCAGACUGAUGUGGUCCCCCAGAGCAUGGUGAGGUUGGCACUAGCCAGGGACAUUCACGGUGUGCACAGCUGGGAGCUGGUGUCCUCCCUGCCCUGGUUACCAAUGAUAAGCCUUCUAUCAUCCAAGGACCAUGUUUAAUGCACUUCCCAGCGCCCAUCCGAUGGGCUUUGCUGCUUGUGGGGGUGGAAGGGCAGCCUGGGGUGAACUGCCCAGAUGGCCGGGGGUGAGGGCUUUCCUUUUGCUGCUGCUUUGUGACUUCAGGACUUGUGAGUCCCCAUGUGGAAAGCACCAGGGUCCCUUUGAGCCCCAGGCAGAGUCCAACUUUUAUGGCCUUGUUUUGAUCCUGUGGCAUUCAACUAUAAAAUCCUGCCCAGUUAAUCAGGGCCCAUACCACUUGGCCAUGUUUGUACCAACGCUGGUGACAAAACAUCUGCUUCACUGAUUAACAGUUGAGAUAGACCCCGGCACUCAUUCGGACUUGUAUCCGUUUCGGGAAAUAGACUUAGUAUCUAUGAGUGGGAACUUGACUUUAACAGAAAUAUAUCAUUCUUUGGAAUCAUUCUUUGGACACUGUAUGUCCUGCCACAUUCUAUGUGGGUGAACUGUGACCCAUUUGGAGGAGUUCUCUCCGUGCCUUGGGUUCUUCACCUGGGAAGCAGCAAUGACCGUAGCACCCACCUAGGGUGUUUGGAGGACUGACUUACUACCUGGAAUACACUUAAAGUAGUGCUCGGUCCAGGGGAGUAUUUGGUAAGUGCUAGUGAGCGUUACUAUUAGCAGCCUUUUUUUUUUUAAGAUUUUAUUUAUUUAUAUGAGAGAGAAAGAGAGCACAUG